RNAcentral lists this long non-coding RNA (794 nucleotides) under Homo sapiens (human). Its description in RNAcentral is "non-protein coding lnc-STX11-5:1". Lineage: Eukaryota; Metazoa; Chordata; Mammalia; Primates; Hominidae. The record is from RNAcentral.
UCUCCUUGCCUUAGGGCAGAGAGGAGUUACCAGCAGAAAGACUGGCAGCAUUGCCUGCUGUCUCCUGCUCACCAUUGCUGAUGAUUGGCAUUUGUAUUUCAAUAUGGCGUCCGUGCUCUGGAAAGGAAUAAUCUGGAAAGAUGACUGGGAAGUAGAUGGUUUGCCUGUGUCAUCACCACGUUUUCCCUGUUCCCUGGGGUGGUGUACCUGCUCUUGCAAUAUUCUCUAAUUUCUGGAUGAACCUGGCUUUGGAAGGUACUGUGCUGUAGGUUUUUCCAGGAGUUUUGUUUGCUUUGGAGUUUCUUAACAACCAUCAUUGCCUUGGAGGCUUUGUCAACAUUUUGGGCUUCCUUGUCCUCAAUAGAUUUGCUUGUUGGGCCACACUUGUGCCUUUUCACUUAUUCUCACCAGGGACUUCCUUCACUGGGCAUCUGGCUGGGAUUCUUCUUGCAUUAAUGCACACUCAAGGGCCUCUGAAGAACAUCAUGGAAGCAUGUGCUGGCAUUUUUUUCCCUCCAAUUAUUGGUUAUCCAGGACAGUGAUAUUACUUCAAUUGUUCAGGCUAGUCUGGAUAUCAGGAUCAUUAUCUUUAUGGCAGGCCAGGUUAUUAUGAAGAAGCACCCAGGAGCUAUGAUACAUACACAGCAGUACGGAGAGAAAAAGAACAGCUUGUGAGAGCAUGAAGAGCCAGCCCCUGGGAUCAAGAAAAUACCAGGAAUAGCUCACUGCCCUGCGGGCUUCUUCUCUCAGAAGAAAUGAGACUAUAAUGGCUUCACAGGUUUGAUAGCCAGUGA